RNAcentral lists this ribosomal RNA (459 nucleotides) under Hoplobatrachus occipitalis (groove-crowned bullfrog). RNAcentral describes it as "partial 12S ribosomal RNA". It matches the Rfam family "Bacterial small subunit ribosomal RNA", at positions 870 to 1525 of the family's 1533-position model. The record is from RNAcentral. Lineage: Eukaryota; Metazoa; Chordata; Amphibia; Anura; Dicroglossidae.
CGCCAGGGAAUUACGAGCUUUAGCUUAAAACCCAAAGGACUUGACGGUGCCCCACCCAGCUAGAGGAGCCUGUUCUAUAAUCGAUGAUCCCCGCUUAACCUAACCCUUUCUUGCUUUAUCAGCCUGUAUACCUCCGUCGUAAACCCGCCAUAUGAAUGUUUUAGCGGAUUCAAUGGCCUUAGCCACCAGCACGUCAGGUCAAGGUGCAGCCAAUGAAAGGGCAAGCAAUGGGCUACAAUUUCUAAUCUAGAACAUACGAACUACUGCAUGAAACACAGUCAUGAAGGAGGAUUUAGUAGUAAAAAGAAAUCAGCGAGUUCUUUUUAACAUGGCCCUGGGGCGUGUACACACCGCCCGUCACCCUCUUCGAAGGCUUUUUAUUGAUACUUAACCCACCCCCAACCAAAAGAAGAGGCAAGUCGUAACAUGGUAAGUGUACCGGAAGGUGCACUUGGAAUA